This 305-nucleotide ribosomal RNA is filed under the name uncultured bacterium. RNAcentral's name for it is "bacterial SSU rRNA". It matches the Rfam family "Bacterial small subunit ribosomal RNA", at positions 337 to 658 of the family's 1533-position model. The record is from RNAcentral.
UCCUACGGGAGGCAGCAGUGGGGGAUAUUGCACAAUGGGGGGAACCCUGAUGCAGCGACGCCGCGUGGGUGAAGAAGCGCCCCGGCGCGUAAAGCCCUGUCAGCAGGGAAGAAGAAGGACGGUACCUGACCAAGAAGCCCCGGCUAACUACGUGCCAGCAGCCGCGGUAAUACGUAGGGGGCAGGCGUUAUCCGGAUUUACUGGGUGUAAAGGGGGCGCGGACGGCGAUGCAAGCCAGGAGUGAAAGCCCGGGGCCCAACCCCGGGACGGCCCUGGGAACUGCGGGGCUGGAGUGCAGGAGGGGG